This 1229-nucleotide long non-coding RNA is filed under the name Equus asinus (donkey). RNAcentral describes it as "lncRNA (ENSEASG00005034067.1)". The record is from RNAcentral. Lineage: Eukaryota; Metazoa; Chordata; Mammalia; Perissodactyla; Equidae.
GUUGGAGCGACACUUCCCAGAGGGCAGCGGUCACGCCAGAUCUUCGGCUUCCAUUCCGUUUUCGCGCGCUUCUCCCUCUUUGCAGGCCAAGUGGCUGUGAGGAGAGAAGAGGAGGAAGCGCCAGGGAGCCCAGAGCCACCAGACAGUGACGCCACAAAGCCACAGCCAUCACACCCGCACAGGUGAAGGACACGCAACCAAAUCCCCGUCACCCCAGCACAGCCACUCACCUGUCACAGCCUCGCAGCCACACCCACGGCACGGAGGCGCAUCCCACCGCUCACUCGCGUCUCUCACACACACCCCGCCACACGCUGCCCGUCUGUCCCCACAGACACACACCGUCCUCUGCCGUUCAUGCCCGAGAGUCCCCUGAGGACUGGCGUCCUUACUACGGGCCUCCACCCUGUGAGCGCUCCCGCUGCCACCCCACCUGGUUCACGUCGGGCUCCGAAUUGACUCGCUUCACAGGAUUCCCGCAUCCUGUGCUAACACAUCCACAAACGAGCUCCACUCACCUUGCAAAGAGGGAGAAGCGCGCGAAAACGGAAUGGAAGCCGAAGAUCUGGCGUGACCGCUGCCCUCUGGCAAGUGUCGCUCCAACCUGAACCUCUCUGGGCGCGGCGGCUCGUCAGACAGGCCGCCGAAGCGCGGAAGUCCCGGUGGAACUGCAGCGGCGAGAACCGCCCGGAGCCCGGCCCCGGAGCGCGCGAUGCGAGGGCACGUGCACGGGCAAACGCCGCUGCGCCCAGGAGGCCGAGCAGGGCAGCCCGGCGCUGGUUCUGAGCCUCUGGCCUGUGCACGCAGAGUCGCACUGGAGUGUCGGGGGGCGGCCCCUGGGGCGCGAGCGCACGGCGGGUGUGAGCUCUGAGGGCGGGGCCCCGGGCGAGUCCCCUCAGGCGGCUGCAGCCUGGCGACAGCAUAUGCGGAACCUAACUCCUGAUACCGCCGGGGGCGGGCUGGUUUAUUCAGAAAGCCUGUUAGCUGCGUUUAAACGGUGUGUAGGAGUGAAGUAACACAUGUUUACUUAAUUCUCUAGGCUAAGCUAUAAUAAUAAAAAUGGAAUGAAUAUUUAAUUGUAAAGGUGCUGUGGUGAAUAUUUUGUAUAUACUUUGCAAUAUUGAUUUAGGGACAGAUUUUCCAAGCAUACCCAAAGAGAGGAAUCUUAGUAAAAUUCUAAGAGUUCACUGGAUAAUUAUUGUAAUCAUCCUAAUCACUUGAAUGCAAAU